AGUUCAAGUGAGCCCCACUUAAGUAAAAUAUGUAAUGCCUGGAGGGGCCAGUAAGUGGCGCUGUUUUUUUUCUUGAGACAAAGCUCACAAGCCAGCAUGUCGUCACGGGCGGGAGGAUAACACAAUAUGGCAGCCUGACGGUCCUGGCUCGUCACAUGCGCGUCGGUAAAGGAGAAUGCUUCAUGAUUGAGGAAUUAAGCAGAAGUGAGCUGCGCUUUUGAGGUGAAAGAACUGCGAGUAAGUGGCGUUCCAGUGAGAUAAGAAACUCCAUAACGGCACGUCGUAGGGCACCGAAGUAAGCUGUUGCUGUGUAUGGGAAAGGCUCUAGCUAGCCAGGCUAACGGAGUGUUCUGGAAGGCUACGGAGCUGCAGGACGGCAGGGGAGACAACAUUUUCAGAGUUGAUCGUCGGUGAGACCGUGCCAGUAGGAGCCGGUCAUUUGUCGUCACUUUUCUAUGUCUUCGGCUGAAUGAUGGGUCUGAGGGAGCUUCAAUCAGAAACCACCACUUAUCUCCUGUGUUCAGCAUCCUGAGUUUCUGACCAAACUCAGCUUUUUUAAGAGGGACAGCUUGCAGACUCAGUGACUGAUAAACUAAAUCUACGGCCCUCUUCCUACUGAUUUAUGGUCUCCUUCCUUUACGGAGCACUCUACAGCUUCCAGGAGAAGACAAAGAAGGCACACAGCUCCUUCCCUCCACCCUCUGGAUGCUUCACUCUAAAAAUG
Molecule: long non-coding RNA, 724 nt
Organism: Oryzias melastigma (Indian medaka)
Lineage: Eukaryota; Metazoa; Chordata; Actinopteri; Beloniformes; Adrianichthyidae
Exons: 4
Source: RefSeq, a predicted model, not a curated record